This 253-nucleotide ribosomal RNA is filed under the name uncultured bacterium. Its description in RNAcentral is "partial 16S ribosomal RNA". It matches the Rfam family "Bacterial small subunit ribosomal RNA", at positions 524 to 776 of the family's 1533-position model. The record is from RNAcentral.
UACGUAGGGUGCGAGCGUUAAUCGGAAUUACUGGGCGUAAAGCGUGCGCAGGCGGUUUUUUAAGACAGAUGUGAAAUCCCCGGGCUUAACCUGGGAACUGCGUUUGGGACUGCAAGACUAGAGUACGGCAGAGGGGGGUAGAAUUCCACGUGUAGCAGUGAAAUGCGUAGAGAUGUGGAGGAAUACCGAUGGCGAAGGCAGCCCCCUGGGUCGAUACUGACGCUCAUGCACGAAAGCGUGGGGAGCAAACAGG